RNAcentral lists this ribosomal RNA (489 nucleotides) under Triticum aestivum (bread wheat). Its description in RNAcentral is "partial small subunit ribosomal RNA". The record is from RNAcentral. Lineage: Eukaryota; Viridiplantae; Streptophyta; Magnoliopsida; Poales; Poaceae.
AUGCACAUUGCUUUGAGGAUACUCAACUUGACCACAAGUUCAUCCGGAUGUGAAAGAAAUUGGAGUGUUUUUGAACAAGUGGAUGCAAAGAGGAUAAAUAAACUAGACGUGCAUCGUAGGGACGAUCUAGUUUAUAUUCAAUUCAAUGAAAGAAUGAUAGACAAGAGGAAGAAGUACUCCUCAUCUUGUGAUGUUCUUCUUGGUGAAGAUGCUUCCAUGGCACAAGAUUGGAUAUGUGAAGGUGCUUACGUUGAUGCUGCGGAGGAGGUUGAUGCGGAGGAGGUUGAUGCAAUGGGAGCUUCCGAGUUUGUUGAGCUACGUAGAAGUGCAAGAGUGAGAGAACUUCAUGAAGUGGAAGAAUUUGUUUCCGAUGGGGAAGAAUCUGAUCACGAGCUUGUCAAUGAGGAUGACAUAGACUUUGAGUCCGAUGAUGAUGGGGUGAUACAAGGUGCCAAUGAAGAUGAGGAGGGAGACCCGAUGGAGCCUUAA